UUAACGGAGAGUUUGAUUCUGGCUCAGAACGAACGCUGGCGGCGUGGAUAAGACAUGCAAGUCGAGCGAGAUUUUUUCCUGUAGCAAUACAGGGAAAAGUCUAGCGGCGAACGGGUGCUUAACACGUGGGCAAUCUGCCGAGAAGUGGGGGAUAGCUCGCCGAAAGGCGAAUUAAUACCGCAUGUGAUUAGAGUGGACAUCCAUUCGAAAUCAAAGUCGGGGCAACCUGACGCUUUUUGAGGAGCCCGCGGCCUAUCAGCUAGUUGGUGAGGUAACGGCUCACCAAGGCUUUGACGGGUAGCUGGUCUGAGAGGACGACCAGCCACACUGGGACUGAGACACGGCCCAGACACCUACGGGUGGCAGCAGUCGAGAAUUUUUCUCAAUGGGGGAAACCCUGAAGGAGCGACGCCGCGUGGAGGAUGAAGGUCUUCGGGUUGUAAACUCCUGUCAUUU
RNAcentral lists this ribosomal RNA (456 nucleotides) under Verrucomicrobiota bacterium. RNAcentral describes it as "bacterial SSU rRNA". It matches the Rfam family "Bacterial small subunit ribosomal RNA", at positions 1 to 441 of the family's 1533-position model. The record is from RNAcentral. Lineage: Bacteria; Pseudomonadati; Verrucomicrobiota.